This 468-nucleotide ribosomal RNA is filed under the name uncultured bacterium. RNAcentral describes it as "partial 16S ribosomal RNA". It matches the Rfam family "Bacterial small subunit ribosomal RNA", at positions 28 to 507 of the family's 1533-position model. The record is from RNAcentral.
GACGAACGCUGGCGGCGUGCUUAAUACAUGCAAGUCGAACGGACAGGCCCUGCUCUUGUGGGGUUCUCGUGUGGCGAACGGGUGAGUAACACGCGUGUAUCCCGCACUUGUCUUUGUGAUAUCUUCAGGAAACUGGGGCUAAUACCGGAUAGGAUCUCCUGCUGCAUGGUGGGGGUUGGAAAGUGACGGCGGUGGGGGAUGGACUCGCGGCUUAUGAGCUUGAUGGUGAGGUAGUGGCUUACAAAGGCUUUGACGGGUAGCCGGCCUGAGAGGCGGACCGGCCACAAUGGUCCUGAGAGACGGAGCAGACGCCAACGGGAGGCAGCAGUGGGGAGUUUUGCACAAUGGGCGGAAGUCAGAGGCAGCAGCGCCGCGUUCGGGAUAACGGCUUUCGGGGUGUAAACCGAUUUCGCAGGAGACGAAGCGUUAGUGACGGUAAUGGGUAAAGAAGCACCGGCUAACUACGUG